RNAcentral lists this ribosomal RNA (486 nucleotides) under uncultured bacterium. Its description in RNAcentral is "partial 16S ribosomal RNA". It matches the Rfam family "Bacterial small subunit ribosomal RNA", at positions 30 to 507 of the family's 1533-position model. The record is from RNAcentral.
AUUGAACGCUGGCGACAUGCCUUACACAUGCAAGUCGAACGGCAGCACGGGUGCUUGCCCCUGGUGGCGAGUGGCGAACGGGUGAGUAAUACAUCGGAACAUGUCCUGUAGUGGGGGAUAGCCCGGCGAAAGCCGGAUUAAUACCGCAUACGAUCUACGGAUGAAAACGGGGGACCUUCGGGCCUCGCGCUAUAGGGUUGGCCGAUGGCUGAUUAGCUAGUUGGUGGGGUAAAGGCCUACCAAGGCGACGAUCAGUAGCUGGUCUGAGAGGACGACCAGCCACACUGGGACUGAGACACGGCCCAGACUCCUACGGGAGGCAGCAGUGGGGAAUUUUGGACAAUGGGCGAAAGCCUGAUCCAGCAAUGCCGCGUGUGUGAAGAAGGCCUUCGGGUUGUAAAGCACUUUUGUCCGGAAAGAAAUCCUUGGCCCUAAUACGGUCGGGGGAUGACGGUACCGGAAGAAUAAGCACCGGCUAACUACGUG